GGAAGUGCAUGCGGGCUGGUGUCCGUCCGGGACUUCAAAUCCUGCGGGUCUGCCUCUGGUGGACCGGUCGGUUCGAUUCCGACACACUUCCGCCA
RNAcentral lists this transfer RNA (95 nucleotides) under Acidobacteriota bacterium. RNAcentral describes it as "Acidobacteria bacterium (hot springs metagenome) tRNA-Sec". It matches the Rfam family "Selenocysteine transfer RNA". The record is from RNAcentral. Lineage: Bacteria; Pseudomonadati; Acidobacteriota.